AUGUGGACUUAUGUACCGAUGGCGAAGGCAGCCCCCUGGGAUAAGACUGACGCUCAUGUACGGAGGAAAGGGGAGCGAGCAGGAUUAGAUACCCUGGUAGUCCACGCCCUGAGCGAUGUCGACUAGUUGUCGGGCCUUUACAGGCUCGGUAACGCAGCUAACGCGUGUCUCAAUCGACCGCCUGGGGAGUACGGUCGCAAGAUUAGAGCUCGAGGGAAUUGACGGGGACCCGCACAAGCGGUGGAUGAUGUGGAUUAAUUCGAUGCAACGCGAAGAGCCUUACCUACCCUUGACAUGCCCGGAAGCUCGCAGAGAUGUGAGAAAGCCCGGAGGGGAGCCGGGACACAGGUGCUGCAUGGCUGUAAACAGCUAUCUCAAUCGUGAGAUGUUGGGUUUCUCAAUCCCGCAACGAGCGCAACCCUUGUCACUAGUUGCUACGGAGGGGCACUCUAGUGAGACUGCCGGUGACGAGCCGGAGGAAGGUGGGGAUGAAAACUCUCAAUCCUCAUGGCCCUUAUGGGUAGGGCUUCACAAAACAUACAAUCGGAAAAGUACGAGGGGCUGCCAACCCGCGAGGGGGAGCCAAUCCCAGAGAGCCGGUAAUCUCAAUCCGGAUUGCAGUCUGCAACUCGACUGCAUGUCUCAAUCGGAAUCGCUAGUGAUCGCGGAUCAGCAUGUCGCGGUGAAUAAAAUCCCGGGUCUUGUACACACCGCCAAACACACCAUGGGAGUGGGUUUCACCAGAAGCAAAUUGCCUAACCGCAAGGAGGGCGG
This 774-nucleotide ribosomal RNA is filed under the name uncultured bacterium. Its description in RNAcentral is "bacterial SSU rRNA". It matches the Rfam family "Bacterial small subunit ribosomal RNA", at positions 694 to 1453 of the family's 1533-position model. The record is from RNAcentral.